Pelobates cultripes (western spadefoot toad) is the source of this 4052-nucleotide non-coding RNA. The record is from the annotation of a GenBank genome assembly. Lineage: Eukaryota; Metazoa; Chordata; Amphibia; Anura; Pelobatidae.
ACACACUAUAUGCUAAGUAGAAUAGUGUUUACAUGGGGAAGAUUUUGUAUGACAUUUUCAGUACACUGUCAACAACUGCGUUCAUGAACUUAUUUGGGGGGUAUGAGGAUGAGCAGGGGACCUUUUUAAAAAAAAUAAAAAAUAAAAAUAUAUAUAAUUUUUUUUAAUUUUUUUUUUAUAUUAUUUAAUGUUUCUUAACACUUUGCUGAUGGUCAGUGACCUUUCACAGCCAAAGUUGCAAGCAGUUUAAUGUUUUCGAAUACAUCAUUCUAUAAAAGAAUGGCGUAUUGAUAGUCCCCACAGAUUGGUGGUGCAAUUAUUCAAUUUACUACUACCAGAAGGACACUGAAGGGCUGCAGACCCAGCUUAGCCACUUGUGCAAGAAACUUAUUGAUUAAAACCGCGUGUUUGCGUGAACCGAAAACAAAGGUUCAGAAAUUAGGCCAAAGUAACAGAAUCGGAGAACUGGACUGCUGGACUGAGCAAAAACAUAAUUGCUGAAAAUAUAUACUUCAAACACUCUUACUUUGACCUAACUCACUGUAACUCUGUUUAAUUUAUAAGCCCCCCAGAUGUUAACAGAAUGCCCUGCUUUUUUCUGUCUUGCAAGUUAGAAAUUCCAAGUUACAAUGCAUUUUUCAUUUAAGCAUGUAUGCAUUGAGGGAAACAGCGUCUUCACAAAUAGUUCAAUUUAUUUGCUGUUUUGUGGAUGUACUUUAAAGCUUCUGAAUGUAUUUAUGUUUUUUCUGCUUUGCGGCAAACACAUUACACAAAGAUUUAACUUGGUGGCCGUCCACAGUUUUAAGUAGCACCCAUUUUUAUUUAUGUUGCUGCAAAAUGUUUUUCGACUCUGGGCAGUGAUCUAUACUAAGGGAGACACAUAUGGGUCAAAGGUUUAUUAACUAGACAGGGAGUUGUGAUUGUGAUACAGACAGUUGACUUUAAACCAAAAUGGGAAAUUAACAUCAAAAAUUAAAAUUUUUUUUAAUCAACUGGAAAGUCCGUUAAUUAUUCUAACCUAGCCUCUUCUGCAAGUCUGCUGUAAAACGACAGUUUAGUGAAUAAACCCUUAACUCAUGAUAUUUUGUCUGAAUCAAAGUUGCAUCUUGCCAAACAUGUGACCAGUUUUUAUUUCUAGCUCCAAUGUUCGCUGACUUUAGUCACAGAUGAAGAUUGUAAAUGUGGUUUUUAAAAGGAAAACACAUAUAUUACUUGUAAUAUAUCACAUCGGAUACACAGGGAAUGAAGUAGGUGUCCUAACAUUCCCAGAUUGGUCUCCUAAAACAAGCCUCUGUUUUAUCACCCUCUACAAACCCAACAGUUGUGACCUUUGUUUUGGGAUGAGCUUCCUACAAGACAGAAUUGGCAUAAUAUCAACGCAGAGACGUUAGAUCACUCAAUCUGUAGCAUCAACGAUAAAGUUCUAGAUUCAGUAAAACCCCAAUUGUGGCCAUACUGAUUAAGCAACAUCCUUGAUCUAUAACAAAACAGUAUAUUAGUUUCCUUUAUGAUCACAACCAAAUGUCACCUUCAUUUGAUUUCAGACUGUGACAAAGUGUUUCAUCAACCCUUAAACCACCAUAGGGGUAGUUUACUCAAUGCCUGCGGCAAAAGGAUUUGAAAUAAACCCAAUUAAGGAAAAAUAAUUUUUAAAAAAUUAAUUUUUUUUACCAUGUUACCAAAAUUUAAAAUGUAAUUUUUUUAAUCAAAUGUAUAUAAACUUUAGAUAAAGUAUUUUAUUUGAUUUUAAUCUGCUAAGCUGUUAGUGACUUUGAACAGAUAAUGACAGCCCAGCAAUAAAUGUGUGCACUAUAAGAGAGAAAUGCUAGCAAACAUAUAGCCAAAUUAUGGGGUUAUUUUAAACCCAUUUACUGUCAGGGGAACAUACUGAAGCUUGCAGCUCCCACUGGCAGCAAGGGGGUUAACUAAUUGCUUGCAUUUAAUUGAAGGAAUUAUACAUACAAAUACUCAAAUUUUUACACAUUGAAUGGUAUUUAAAAUGAAAUUUGUACUAUUUGGGUGUAAUAGGGAUACUUUAAACUUUACAUUUAUUUUCCUCUCUGGCCCCUGACAAAUCCUUGCUUUCUUAAAGAAACCAAAAAAGUUCUAUGUUUCUGUUUAUUUUUAUAGACAUUUUUGUUAUUUUUAAAUAUAUUCCUCUGCAUUUUUUUUUUUUUUUUAAAUCAUGAAAAUUGUUCCUAAUAUAGCACUUAAUAUAUUGGAGAGAGAGAAAAAAAAGUCAAGAAUGGGGUAAAGUUCUGCUCAGACUUGUCCCUUUAGCAUUUAGCAAAUAGCUUUAACAUUUAGGGCCCAGAAAAAAAUGUAAGAAUUCUGAGCCAAAAUGCAUAGGCAGAAACCGAAACCUAAACCGCAGAGAAUUUUUUUUCUAAAAAAAAAAAAAAGCAAAACAAAGAAAAAAAGUUUAUAUAGAGGAAAAAAAAUACAACAUUGAUGGCUAUUUAAUACUUAUAUGAAAUGGGGGAUAUACAACAUAAUAUUGGUGUCUUCUAUAAAUAAUGUUCUUUUUGACAGUUUAAUGCAGCUUAUUUUUUUAUUUUAUUUUUUGCUAUUUGUCCUUGAUAUUUUGUUUUUAUAUAUUUUUUUUUUACCUCAUUGUUACCUUUUUUUCUCUGCCAGAGAGACUGCAACAUAUUUGCAUUUUCAAAACGCUCUGGUUUUGAAUUUUUUUUUUUUUGACUUGAACAAAACUCUGAAUGAAACUUGUCUUGAUACAUAACUACAUGUCAUGCACUUUAUAUUCUGUUCUAUAUUUUUUUUUAUUUUAGAAUACAUACAUUUCAUUAAAAUAUAAGAUUUAGGGAAAGAAAGGUGUGUUGGGGGGUGGGGGGUUGUUGGGUUUAAUGUAUAUGCAUAAAUAUAUACAAUUCUCUUUUAUACCUUGUCGAGACAAAGCAAGAUAUUUAAAGUUCUUCCGCCUACUACUUCAUUUCUAUUGGGAUGAAUGACAAAAUAAUGGCACCUAAUAUUUUUAUCCUUUAUAGAAAUGACCCAGAAAUGUAAAAUACCUUUUUCAUACGUCUAGUGGUGAACUUCCACAUAGAUGUGAUGCCAUUUAAUGCUCCCAUAAUGACCCUCAUUUUAUAUUGUGAUGAUGUUUUCUCUUGGUUUAUACUCCUAAAUACAGUUGUUGAUCUGGUGAGAAUUGGAGAGAGAAACUAUCCCUGUUGUUCUUUCUCCAGAUAUCCGAAGGCAAAUGCCUAAGAGCCUUUUUUGUGUUCCCAACUGUUUCUUGAGUUGAGGAAUGGUAUAAGAGUAAAACACAUGCUUAUGUUAUGGGGAAGGACAUUUUGCAACACUCAAGAUUCUUAGUGUAACACUUUUCAUUGCUGUUAGUGUGUGUGGACAUACUAGAUAUUAGAUUUUGUAUUCGUUUGUUGCAUUUUCCUUGUGCAUACUCUUAUUUUCCUAGGAAGUGGUAUAAUAUUAGGCUAGAGGUGGCCAAUCAUUUCUCCCCAGUUCCAUAUGUUGAAAGGCAAAGGAGACUGGAACAUUUAUCCCAACAACUAAAGGUUCAGCACCUUUUAUGAAGUUGUGAAAGUCCAGCUAUAAAUUGUAAUUAUCACAUAUUGUUGAAAAAAAACACAAACACCUCUUCCUAUUUUAAAUAGAUAUGAAUUUUAAAGACUUUUGUAUAGGCAUGGAAACCACCUUUACAUAUAGAUUUUGUAAAAGUUGCAAGAUGUCCUUUCAUGUUGGAGAAGCUUACGUUUAUAGUGCUAGUUUCCAUUUAAGAAACGUUUGUCUUAAUACUUGUGUUUUUAUUCUUUUUUUUUUUUUUAAGCUCUUGUUUCUACCAAUCAUAAUUUACAAUUGAAAGGAUUUUCACAAGUACCCCAUGAGCCUAUUACAGAACUUGUAACUAGCCUGUCUUUAAUGGAUGUUUUAUUUGGAUUUAUUUUAUUUUUUAAGCAGAAAGUUAAAGCAUACAUGAUGUUGCACAACUUGUAGAAAACAAAGAAGGGAAGGGUUAAUGUAUUAAAUGUGCUGAUUUGACAUUAAAAACUUAAUUUUAUUAAAGUAUUAUUACUUAA